This is a long non-coding RNA of Vicia villosa (hairy vetch), 573 nucleotides long. RefSeq lists it as uncharacterized. The transcript has 3 exons. NCBI's taxonomy places the organism in Eukaryota, Viridiplantae, Streptophyta, Magnoliopsida, Fabales, Fabaceae. The record is from RefSeq and is a predicted model, not a curated record.
AAACUCUAGCCGAAGGGAAAAGAAUGGCUCGAAGUCUUCCUAUAGAUGUCAGUUUGCUUUCGUCGCAUUUGUGACCGGCAUCCACCGUUUGGGGUCUAAAUAAUCCACAUCUGCUGAUUCAAUGGUUAUUACGGAGAGGUUGUCCAAGGAAGAAAUUGGUUGUUUAAAAGAGUGUAGAUUUCAAAUUUGGAGUGGCAUGCCCUUUUGAUUGAUAACUCAAAUAACAGGUAAUAGUUAGUUUGGAGUAACUUUGUAAGUUUUAAUUUUAAGCUAUAUUUGAUUGAAUUCUUUAAGGGCUAAUGUGUUAGUUUAUUUUACACUUUCUUUAUUGCACGCAUGGUGUUUGAUAAAAUGUCUCAGCAAAGGAGAAAGGGAGUCGGUGAACGGGCAUAUGGCAACUUAUUUCUUUGUUUCACAAGUUUUAACAAAUGCAGUAAUUUUGGUAUGUUAGUAUUACUCUUCUAUUCACUGGUGUUAUUAUUUUUCCACUAUCUUUUUGUUAUACGUCGAUUUUGCUGUUGCUCUUUGGUUUCACGGUAGUUAAAAUGAGCAUCAAGCACGCGUACGCAUCGA